This 468-nucleotide ribosomal RNA is filed under the name uncultured bacterium. RNAcentral's name for it is "partial 16S ribosomal RNA". It matches the Rfam family "Bacterial small subunit ribosomal RNA", at positions 28 to 507 of the family's 1533-position model. The record is from RNAcentral.
GACGAACGCUGGCGGCGUGCUUAACACAUGCAAGUCGAACGGAAAGGCCCUGCUUUUGUGGGGUGCUCGAGUGGCGAACGGGUGAGUAACACGUGAGUAACCUGCCCUUGACUUUGGGAUAACUUCAGGAAACUGGGGCUAAUACCGGAUAGGAGCUCCUGCUGCAUGGUGGGGGUUGGAAAGUUUCGGCGGUUGGGGAUGGACUCGCAGCUUAUCAGCUUGUUGGUGGGGUAGUGGCUUACCAAGGCUUUGACGGGUAGCCGGCCUGAGAGGGUGACCGGCCACAUUGGGACUGAGAUACGGCCCAGACUCCUACGGGAGGCAGCAGUGGGGAAUAUUGCACAAUGGGCGGAGGCCUGAUGCAGCAACGCCGCGUGCGGGAUGACGGCCUUCGGGUUGUAAACCGCUUUCGCCUGUGACGAAGCGUGAGUGACGGUAAUGGGUAAAGAAGCACCGGCUAACUACGUG